GAUGAACGCUGGCGGCGUGCCUAAUACAUGCAAGUCGAGCGAACAGACGAGGAGCUUGCUCCUCUGACGUUAGCGGCGGACGGGUGAGUAACACGUGGAUAACCUACCUAUAAGACUGGGAUAACUUCGGGAAACCGGAGCUAAUACCGGAUAAUAUAUUGAACCGCAUGGUUCAAUAGUGAAAGACGGUUUUGCUGUCACUUAUAGAUGGAUCCGCGCCGCAUUAGCUAGUUGGUAAGGUAACGGCUUACCAAGGCAACGAUGCGUAGCCGACCUGAGAGGGUGAUCGGACACACUGGAACUGAGACACGGUCCAGACUCCUACGGGAGGCAGCAGUAGGGAAUCUUCCGCAAUGGGCGAAAGCCUGACGGAGAACAGCCGCGCGAGUGAUGAAGGUAUUCGGAUCGUAAAACUCUGUUAUUAGGGAAGAACAAAUGUGUAAGUAACUAUGCACGUCUUGACGGUACCUAAUCAGAAAGCCACGGCUAACUACGUG
Molecule: ribosomal RNA, 497 nt
Filed under: uncultured bacterium
Lineage: Bacteria
Description: partial 16S ribosomal RNA
Rfam family: Bacterial small subunit ribosomal RNA
Source: RNAcentral